CAGCAGCCGCGGUAAUACCGGCGGCCCGAGUGGUGGCCGCUAUUAUUGGGCCUAAAGCGUCCGUAGCCGGGCCCGUAAGUCCCUGGCGAAAUCCCACGGCUCAACCGUGGGGCUUGCUGGGGAUACUGCGGGCCUUGGGACCGGGAGAGGCGGGGGGUACCCCUGGGGUAGGGGGGGAAUCCUAUAAUCCCAGGGGGUCCGCCAGUGGCGAAGGCGCCCCGCUGGAACGGGUCCGACGGUGAGGGACGAAGGCCAGGGGAGCAAACCGGAUUAGAUACCCGGGUAGUCCUGGCUGUAAACGAUGCGGACUUUGUGUCGGACAAGCUAUGAGCUUGUCCGGUGCCGGAGGGAAACCGUUAAGUCCGCCGCCUGGGGAGUACGGCCGCAAGGCUGAAACUUAAAGGAAUUGGCGGG
This 414-nucleotide ribosomal RNA is filed under the name uncultured microorganism. RNAcentral describes it as "bacterial SSU rRNA". It matches the Rfam family "Archaeal small subunit ribosomal RNA", at positions 459 to 872 of the family's 1478-position model. The record is from RNAcentral.